RNAcentral lists this ribosomal RNA (465 nucleotides) under Vreelandella stevensii. Its description in RNAcentral is "partial 16S ribosomal RNA". It matches the Rfam family "Bacterial small subunit ribosomal RNA", at positions 338 to 795 of the family's 1533-position model. Lineage: Bacteria; Pseudomonadati; Pseudomonadota; Gammaproteobacteria; Oceanospirillales; Halomonadaceae. The record is from RNAcentral.
CCUACAGGAGGCAGCAGUGGGGAAUAUUGGACAAUGGGGGCAACCCUGAUCCAGCCAUGCCGCGUGUGUGAAGAAGGCCCUCGGGUUGUAAAGCACUUUCAGUGAGGAAGAACGCCUGGUGGUUAAUACCCAUCAGGAAAGACAUCACUCACAGAAGAAGCACCGGCUAACUCCGUGCCAGCAGCCGCGGUAAUACGGAGGGUGCGAGCGUUAAUCGGAAUUACUGGGCGUAAAGCGCGCGUAGGUGGCUUGAUAAGCCGGUUGUGAAAGCCCCGGGCUCAACCUGGGAACGGCAUCCGGAACUGUCAAGCUAGAGUGCAGGAGAGGAAGGUAGAAUUCCCGGUGUAGCGGUGAAAUGCGUAGAGAUCGGGAGGAAUACCAGUGGCGAAGGCGGCCUUCUGGACUGACACUGACACUGAGGUGCGAAAGCGUGGGUAGCAAACAGGAUUAGAUACCCCUGUAGUC